This 2109-nucleotide long non-coding RNA is filed under the name Amborella trichopoda. RNAcentral's name for it is "long non-coding RNA (ATRI_LNC000826)". The record is from RNAcentral. Lineage: Eukaryota; Viridiplantae; Streptophyta; Magnoliopsida; Amborellales; Amborellaceae.
UGGAACUGUGCAAACAGUUACAACUGAAGAAUUUGUAAAACUGUUCUUUUCACUCCAUAGGUUAAGAUAAAGUUCCAUUUUACUAUAAGAAACCAAGUGAGAUUGACCACCAAGAAAGUUGGUCCGAGAGUUAAGACAAGAGACAAGUGAACGCCGAUGCGAAAAGUACCGCCAAGGCCAGGAGAGCCGCUUAGGGAAAAAAGCUAAGGCCACUGAAUGUCCAGAUUGUCAUUAUCCGCAACCUACGGAUGGCAAAUAUCAUAAAGAAUCUUACUGGUAAAACUGCAUCUUCAUCUUCAAAACUUAGAGUUAAGAAUAAAGAACAAAUUAUUAUAAUUUCCAGUGAUGAGGGCAGUACGAAGGUAAAUUUGUGAGAUUACAAUCACACAUUAGUAUAGAGUGAGGUAAGAGAGAACCUGGUUAAGCUAUGAGGGCGAAGAUAGCUCCGGCUAGGAACAAUAUGAACUGUUGCAGAGGUUUUCACAGGUAUAUGAUGGCAGAGGUUUGGUUCAGGGGUGACUGUGAGGUUUAAGGUUCAAGGUAACAGAGGUUUCAGAUAGCAUAGGUCUGAGGUCGGAGGUUACAGGUAGCAGAGGUCUGAGGUUACCGGCAGAGGUCUGAGGUUACAGGUAGCAGAGGUCUGAGGUUACAGGCAGAGGUCUGAGGUUACAGGUAGCAGAGGUUAUUGAAGGCUUCAGAGGGUUUUGAAGGCUUCAGGGAUUAUCACAGGCUUAGAGGAGGCUUAGGCUCUGAGGAUAGCUCUUUUUUCCUCAGGAUCCGUUAUUUUGUCUAUAAUGUCUAGAAUAAAAUUAUCUUCCUGAGUGAGUGUGUGAACAUUAUGUUGGGGUAAUGGACAACUACAGUCUUCUGAUGAUUUUGUAGUGGUUUCAGUAUAAGAACUAUCUGAUCCUAUAAGAUCAAGAUCAUUACUAUCUAUUUCUUCCGUAUAAGAUCCACUAGAAGUAGAGGAGGAAGAAUAAUAGGAUAUUAUAUUUUUUAAUUUUGAUUUGGUUGUAUCAUCUAGAUUCAAUGAGUCUAUUUUCUUUUUUAAUUUACAUUGGUGUUUAUAAUGUCCUAUUUUACCACACUUAUAGCAUACUGGGAGUUUUUUCCUUUUCUUUGUAUUUGGGGAAAAUUUAUUAAUUAAUUUUCUCUUGGUCUUUUUAUAAUAUUCUUUGUCCUUAUUCUUCUUUUUGGCUUUAAUAUAUUUUUCUUUUUUGUAUUUUUUCUUCUUCUUUUUUACGUAAUCAGGCAUAUUUUUUCUAUCUAAGUAAUAGCCAAAUUGCUCACAGAAAUCUCCAAGUUCUUUUUUCUUGGUGAGCUUUUGUUUAUCUAUUUGUCUUUUUAAUUUCAUAUCGGUGCAUAGGGCUAAACCUUCUGCACAUAUUUCUGCGGAGAGUUCUCCGAGUGUAUAUGAUGAAUAUACUAUUAUUCCAUUAUGUUUUUUGCGAAGUCUUUCCUUGACUUUUUCUGCAAAUAGAUAUGGAAGACCAGCUAUAAAUUUUUCCUUCCAAUGGUCUAGCUGACAGUCUUCUCGUAUUAAUAGCCUUGAAAAGAAUACAUCUUUAUACCAUUUAUAAUGAGAAAGAGUAGGACAGCGUAAAUUAGAUAGCAAGUCUUCUGAUCUUGCUGCUAGUAAUGAGGCACUGCCUACAAAAUGUAAAGUAAUUGUGUAUAUCAAGGUAUUGACAGCGUCACUUUCUGUAUAUAUAACUUCUUGAUUUUGUUCAUUUCUUCCAGUCCAUUGUCUAGUAUUGUUUAAAAUCCUUUGUUUGGUAUCGUCAUCCACAUAAAAAUCCCACCAUCCCCUUAACCAUCCGGUAAAUCCAUUUACUAUUGCUUUGGCAACUUCUUGAUCAUGGUUGCCUGCCAUUUUAUUUGCAGAGGCAUAGAUAGUCAUAUGUCUCAUGACAUCUAAUAUUUUUAAUUCGGAUAGUCCAUCAAUUUGCCAGUUGACUAUUGACCUUCCUGAAUAGGAUACAGCCUGUUGUAUUGAAUCUUCUUCCAUUUGAAUGUCAACAGGAGUAGGUCUCUUAUGAUAAGGUAAGGCUGUUAUGGGUUUCCAAUAUUUUCCAUAAGCUAUUUUGUUGAUGGUGUCCAUUAGAGGUG